This 71-nucleotide transfer RNA is filed under the name Acinetobacter phage vB_AbaM_phiAbaA1. It matches the Rfam family "tRNA". Rfam says of the family: Transfer RNA (tRNA) molecules are approximately 80 nucleotides in length. Their secondary structure includes four short double-helical elements and three loops (D, anti-codon, and T loops). Further hydrogen bonds mediate the characteristic L-shaped molecular structure. tRNAs have two regions of fundamental functional importance: the anti-codon, which is responsible for specific mRNA codon recognition, and the 3' end, to which the tRNAs corresponding amino acid is attached (by aminoacyl-tRNA synthetases). tRNAs cope with the degeneracy of the genetic code in two manners: having more than one tRNA (with a specific anti-codon) for a particular amino acid; and 'wobble' base-pairing, i.e. permitting non-standard base-pairing at the 3rd anti-codon position. Lineage: Duplodnaviria; Heunggongvirae; Uroviricota; Caudoviricetes; Luriaviridae. The record is from Rfam by way of RNAcentral.
GCGUGAUUGGUAUAAUGGUAUUAUGUCUGGCUUCCACCCAGAAGACGAGAGUUCGAUUCUCUCAUCCAGCG